UGAUUCUCCUGCCUCAGCCUCCCAAGUAGCUGGAAUUACAGAGCAACAUUCUCAGCAAACCAUCUGAAUGCAACUCCUGUGAUCACAAAAGUCAAUCACUGAUGGAAAUGAAGACCACGACCCUGAUUCCUCAGGCACAGGUUUUCAUCUGUCACUAUGUGCUAAAAGCAAACCAGCAAGUGAGGGUGUCACUGUCAACUGCUCCUUGUCGUGAGAUUCCCACCUUUCCCUCAAGACAUCUCAGAUAUCAUAUGUAACCUUGACCCUGUGUCCCACAGCAACAGCGGUCAUUGAGUGUAAAGCCUUUUCCUUGAGGAUUGUGGUAGACAGAAUGCCCCCCAAAGGUGACUAUGCUUGAAUCCAUGGAAACUGAACAUGUCACCUUCUAUGGCAAAAGGGACUUUGCAGACGUGAUUAAGGUUAAAGACCUUAAAUUAGAGGGAGUACCCUGGACUAUCCAGGUGUCUAAUCUAAUCCCAUGAGACUUCAAAUGCAGAGAGCUUUCUCUGGCUGGAGUCAAAGAGAUGUGACAAAAGAGGUCGUCGGAGAGAUUGGAAGUGUGAGAAAGACCCGACCUACUGUUUCUGGGGAGCCCACCUGGAAAGCACGAGAAGGGACACAGGCAACCUUUGGGAACAAAGACUGCCAGCCACAAGGAAAAGACAGCAGUCCUCUAGCCACAAGAAACCGAAUUCAGCCAGCAACCUGGACAAGCUAGAAGAGCAUUCUUCCCCAGAACCUUUAGGAGGAAGUGAGGCCUUGCAGAUACCCUGAUUUUGGCUUUUGAGACACUAAACAGAGGAUCCAACUGAGUUCAACUGGCCCAGAAACUGAGAUAUGUUUGGACUGUUUUAAGUUGCUACGUUUGUGGUAAUUUAUUUUGGUGGCAACUGAAAAUGAAUGUAAUUGUAUAUUAGAAAAAUUGAAGGUAGAAGCUCUAAUACUUUCUCCCCACACCCCAGUGGUUCAUCAUGUGCAGCACUCAGGGUGUGGAAAUUCCAUUUUGAAGACACCGUCUUCCAGGAUUCUAACCCCCACCUGGGAAAGGUCCUGGAGAGAACUUCUAGCAUGUAUUUCUGAGCCAUUCACAUUUAACCCAGAGAGAGAAGGUGUCCUGCCCAAACGCAAAGCAGCAUGGCGGUAGUUCUGGACAUAACCUUAACAAUUGCCAGGAACUCUCUGGAUGUCCAUCCAUCAGCCCUAUCUAGUCUUUUUGUCUGCAUGGCAUUGUGGGGGAUGUGGCGAUGAGGGCCAGGAUCGCAGAAGUCAGAGUACCCGUGGCUGGAGCUUCCAUUUUAAAUGAAGUGUUCUUGCUUAUGGCUUGAUGGUAUCCUUUCAGAUUUUGCAUCUGGCUGUACUCCAGAUGUUUAUAUAGAAACUUCACAGUAGACAUGAUGGUGGCGUAGGUUUGCAGGAAGGAUCCUUUCCUACUUACAGAGUGACCCAAUGUGGCCGAUCCCUUCAAUAUUUACAACAGCUGGGUGAGUGGAGGCAUGAUCAACUCCAUUUACCCGUCAAAUAAAUGAAAUUUCAGAGCGGUUACACAAUCUGCUUGAGGUAACAAGGCCAGCAAGCCACAGAGCCAACAUACCCCUGGUGCCUGGCUCCACAGGAGUCUGGGAAGAGGGAGAGGAAGAUGGGGACAGGAUGUAUCACCAGGAUGCUAGGGGAAGAGAGAAUAUUGACGUGUGGGGCAGCCUGCAUCCCCAAAUCAGGAGCACUGGGUGCUGCUGUGUUACAGUGAGUGUAGGAGCAUGCCGUUCUGGGCUUCACUCUGCCCAAAUAUGUCUUGCUCAUUUUCACCGCCAUAUGGCUGCUCGUCCCGGUCUGUUUGAGGUUCCUUCCUGUUCCCUCUCUGCCUCUAAGUCCUUCAAAAAGCCAACUGGAAGUGCCUCUUCCAGGCUUUCCUUAGCCUUUCUUUAUUCCCUUGAACUUCUAUUAUGUUAAUUGUUCAAAAGAUUAGUUCUGACACUUACCCUAUGCUGCUUUGUAUUACUAUUGGAAAACAACAGUAGCUCUCUCAACCCAUUGGGUGGAUGGUACAUGCCAUGCUUUAUACAUUCCCGUGGCCCUGCUGUACCUGGCACACACAAAAGGGGAU
RNAcentral lists this long non-coding RNA (2101 nucleotides) under Homo sapiens (human). RNAcentral's name for it is "HSALNT0302756". Lineage: Eukaryota; Metazoa; Chordata; Mammalia; Primates; Hominidae. The record is from RNAcentral.